RNAcentral lists this ribosomal RNA (794 nucleotides) under uncultured Gram-positive bacterium. RNAcentral's name for it is "bacterial SSU rRNA". It matches the Rfam family "Bacterial small subunit ribosomal RNA", at positions 499 to 1293 of the family's 1533-position model. The record is from RNAcentral.
CGCCCUGUAGCAGCAGCGCGGUAUACGUAGGUGGCAAGCGUUGUCCGGAAUUAUUGGGCGUAAAGCGCGCGCAGGCGGUUCCUUAAGUCUGAUGUGAAAGCCCACGGCUCAACCGUGGAGGGUCAUUGGAAACUGGGGGACUUGAGUGCAGGAGAGGAGAGCGGAAUUCCACGUGUAGCGGUGAAAUGCGUAGAGAUGUGGAGGAACACCAGUGGCGAAGGCGGCUCUCUGGCCUGUAACUGACGCUGAGGCGCGAAAGCGUGGGGAGCGAACAGGAUUAGAUACCCUGGUAGUCCACGCCGUAAACGAUGAGUGCUAAGUGUUAGAGGGUUUCCGCCCUUUAGUGCUGCAGCUAACGCAUUAAGCACUCCGCCUGGGGAGUACGGUCGCAAGACUGAAACUCAAAGGAAUUGACGGGGGCCCGCACAAGCGGUGGAGCAUGUGGUUUAAUUCGAAGCAACGCGAAGAACCUUACCAGGUCUUGACAUCCUUCGCUACCUCUAGAGAUAGAGGGUUCCCCUUCGGGGGACGGAGUGACAGGUGGUGCAUGGUUGUCGUCAGCUCGUGUCGUGAGAUGUUGGGUUAAGUCCCGCAACGAGCGCAACCCUUGACCUUAGUUGCCAGCAUUCAGUUGGGCACUCUAGGGUGACUGCCGGUGACAAACCGGAGGAAGGUGGGGAUGACGUCAAAUCAUCAUGCCCCUUAUGACCUGGGCUACACACGUGCUACAAUGGAUGGUACAAAGGGCUGCGAAGCCGCAAGGCUUAGCCAAUCCCAUAAAACCAUUCUCAGUU